GAGGACGGAAGGCGGGACGUUGCAGGCAGACGGCGUCCAGAGAUCUCCGGGCUUAAGAGGACGAGCGGAAACGCCUCCAGUUUUCAAAACAAAGAGGAGAAGCGGGAGGCGUGUGAGGCGCGCCGGGCUCAGAUUGGUCCCUCCCGCCCGGUCGCUUCAGCAUCAUUGGGUGACAAUGGAGGGGAGCCCGGGAAUCGGCGGGCGCUCGGGGUCUCCGAAGAUCCCGCCGGCCAUGGAGGAGCUGCAGAGCCGCUUGCAGGAGACCCUGGACCUUCUGUCCUCGCAGGAGCUGCGCAGCUUCCGCGACCACCUCAAGAAGGUGGAGCCGCGCGUGAGCCAGGUGAAGCUGGAGCUGGAGGGCCGCAGCCCGUCGGGGCUGGCCAGGCUCCUCGCCAAGCAGUACUACCCACCGGCCGCCGCCAAGCGCGUCCUCGUCCAGGUGCUGGAGCAGCUGCCCCGCGCUGACCUGCUGCCGCGCUGGCAGAGCGCCGCCGCUGACGGCCCGGUGAUUCCACGAAAGAUUCCAAAGAGAAGCUAUGACUGUGUGGAAGGUGAAUUGGACCGUUAUGACCUGAGUGGCAGGCGGAAGGCCUUCCUCAUGUGUGUGACGAGAGACAGGCUGGGCGCUCACCAGGAUGUCCUACUGAUGCAGGACUGGCUUGGCCAGUGCCAGUUCGAAAAUACGUUGUGCAUCGAUCCCGACAAAAUGGAGUUACUUGGAAAGAUAACAUCAUUUCGAGAUGGACUAAAUGAAAUUAAAGAUGACAUUGGCUGUUGCCUUGUUGCUCUUAUGUCCCACGGAGAAGAAGGCUUUAUCAAAAUGACAGAUGGUGAAAAAGUCAGCCUGGAAGGCAUUUUUGAAAUGUUUAACAAUAAAAAUUGUCCAGCACUUCAAGAGAAACCAAAAAUCUUUAUAAUCCAGGCCUGCAGAGGAGAGAGAAGAGACAGUGGUGUUGAAACGGAUGAUGAACCCAUGGACUCGGAUGAUGGAUCAGAGAAGAAGAGGCUGCCUACAUUCAGUGAUUAUUUCAUCAUCUAUCCCACCCAGGCAGAUAUGUGUUUCGCAUCUCUUCUUCUCCUGGUUCCCUGUGAAAUGUUACAAAUCAUGUGGCUUUACGGGACCCCCGCACCGGCUCUGUGAUGAUCAAAGCAAUGACCGAAGUCUUUAAACAGUAUGGAAAUAAGUGGCACAUUGCUGACUUCUUCACCAAAGUGAAUAACAGAGUGGUGCACCGUGAAUUUAAUCUUCGUAAUGAACCAAUAAAAGUAUCACUUGUAAUGGAGUCAACUUUAACUAAAUUUGUAUACUUUUGACAUCAGGAAGAUUAAAAAAACAAGGACUGCUUUACAGUAGAGUUUGAAAAGAGCUGUGAGCAUUUAUAGCAUUGUACUAAUGGUUACCAUUUUGCAUUAUUUUUGUCAUUGGUUGUAUUUGUCCAAUUUGUUUUGUGUAUAUAUAUAUAUAUAUAUACAUAUAUAUUAUUUUUCUAAGAUUUAACUAUGCUUACUUGAUACUUGUAAAUAAUUUGACUUUUUUUUUUUUUUAAAGAUCACUGUUUUCUGAAAAAAACGUUUUCCUGAACCGUUACCAAAACAUGGACGUCCAGCUCCAUUUGUGUACUGUUUUUAUCCUGUGUUUCUCUUGGUGAUUACACCCUACCUUCUCCACUGUCAGCUUGAUGCUGGUGUUAAGCCUCAAUUUCUUGACUUAGUCAAGAAUUGCCUGUGUGUGGUCUUGUCCUCUGUUUCACCUUAUUUACCCAGAUUGUUGUCUGCAGUCAGUCUGAUCUCCUCUUUGACUCCGUAAGCCAUUCUCAAGUCUUACCUGGAUGUCUCUGUGCCCUUGAUGCCUUCAUGUGUUCCACGUUCCAUCCAUUUCCCCGCUUCCUCCUUGCUGCCUCAUACCUUUGAACUGCUGUUUUCUCCACCUGGAACCCUGUGUUCCACCCCACAUAAGUCCUCUCCAUCCUUUGGAGUUUGGUUCAAGCAUCACUUGCACAGGGAAGCUUUCCACAGCCCCUCAUGCUAGGUCAGCUUCUUCUAAGUGCUCAGAUACCCUCUGCUUCUCUUCUGUAGCAUUGAAAUGACUGUCUAGUGGCUGUUUAAUCUCUCUCUCCAGUUCAGUUGUAAGAUCCGAGAGGCAGAGGCUGUGUGUCUCAUUCAUGGCUGCAUCCUAGCUUCCAUCCGUGCAUUAGGACACAGAGAAGCCAUGCAAUGAGCAUUGAGUGAGUGACUGAUCCCUGUCUUUUAAUUAUUUUAUCCAUCCCCCAGACCUCUGUGCAUAUCUAGCCACUUGCUACUUAACCCCACACACGUGGAUGUCUCACGGCUACUUUAACUCAACAAGUUGGACGUUAACCUGAGUUUCCCCUAAAUCUCUUUAUAAAACCCAUCCCAUUGUUAAUAAUCCUUUGACUCCCCACUGCCUGCUGGAUAUACCCCAAAAUCCUGUAGGAGAGUAUUGCAAGUCUUUCUCCGUCAGGCUUAAUCUACACUACUCUUUUAUUGCCUGUUUGUCCUCGUAAUUCGCCCUCCCCUUAAUAAUCCUGUCUCACAGAAUCGGGCUUGUGGAUUAAUGACUGUGGAUAAACACUCUUGGAUAUGUUAUCAUAUCAGAGUUCAAUCUCUCCUUUCUGUCUGAAAUGCCCUUCAUUCUCACUGUGUGCUUCCUCUAUACUGAGUAUUCUUUAGGGUGCAACUUGGGUCCCCUCCCACUACAAAGCAAAGCUGUAUGUAGACUAGUAUUUUUAGAGUAACAAACUGUGGAUUGAGCAUGACUGAUGGGCCUGUACGAGGAUGCAGGUGUUUGGUGAGAAUGCUCUGAAGACUGAGAGCCAAACUGACUGAAGCAAUCCAGAAUCUCCAGGCCUGUCUCCAUUUCAGGGAUAAUUGUGACCAUUUUAGUUAAUGUGAUUUCUUAAGUAUAAAUACAUGUGAUUUAAUUUUUAAGCCUUUGAGUUCUGAUAUUUGAUAUAUAGCUUUGUUUUUGUAUAGAGCAUUAAAAUGUCUCUGGUUCAUAAAAUAUGAACAUCAGGUGAGCCUUCUCUUUCACUUGGAUUCUGGAGGAUUUCUAGGCACAGAGGCUCGUUUCGGUGGGACAGCAGCAGCUGAAAUAUCAACAACUCUUUAUUUCCUGGGAGAGGUUGAGUGACUUGGUCAGAGUCACAGCAUGUGGUGAAGCUGGGAUUCCAAACCAUGAACUAAUUCAAGACAUGAAGUGCCAAGUGAUAGAGAAAAGUUUUAAGACAGAAUGCUUUUGAUGGACAGAAGGGACCAUUCCAUUACCACUUCACUGAUGGAAUGAGGGCUUUGGGACAAAGGAGGGAAAAGUGAUUUUGGAACCCUGCUCAGACCACUACAGGUAAGGGUCACGGAGAAAACUGUAGGACAACUGCACACCAGACAAACAGAUGAAGAGGAGCAAGGAAGAAUUCUGGUUAGAAAGGUAGGUGGCCCAAGAUGAACUUGAUGCCUGGGGCUAGCUAACUGCCCCAUAUUCUCUCAGCUUCAAAUCAGUAGAGACUGUCCUAGCCAUCCAAUGCCAUGUGAAAUAUAGCCCAAAAAAGUAGUCUCUGGCACAAUUUUAUAUUUGAAAAAAAAUUUUAAGCCCAGUUUAUUUAUUUUUUAAAUACAGACCCCAGGAACCAAAGUUUGCAAAAGGAAGGCUCUGAGAUUUUUAUUAAAAAUGUGUAUGAAUAAAAAGUAGUGGAGAAACUUGUGCAGAAGACUAGGAGGCUGAGGUGGGGAGAAGAACACGUGGCUGGGGAGCUACAGCCGUUUGACAAGUGCCUCUUAGGCCAAGGGCGCCUCACCAUGGCUUAUUAUCACUACAGUACAUUUUCACCUUUGGAGUUAACUCACUUCCUUGCCGAAUAUUUUCAUCAUGCAGAUCACGUCUCAAGGACAAAGUUAUUUUGCAGGAAAAAAAAUAUUUUGUGGAGAAACCCUAAAUUUAAUUACAGUACCAUUUCCUAGUUGUCAUAAUGGAAGUAUUCUGGAGAUUCUAUGGUGCACAGGGGAGGGAGCUGCUGAGAUAGUUUGGGAGUGCCCCCCAGAAUGCCCUCCAGAGAAGUCCUGCAGUGAUAGAGCACUGUCCCUAAAAGCCAGCCAUUCCUUUUAAGUCUUCCUUUUUUUUUUUUU
This is an RNA transcript of Globicephala melas (long-finned pilot whale), 4140 nucleotides long. It is a transcript of the gene named caspase 14, with no coding region annotated. Lineage: Eukaryota; Metazoa; Chordata; Mammalia; Artiodactyla; Delphinidae. The record is from RefSeq and is a predicted model, not a curated record.